Molecule: ribosomal RNA, 253 nt
Filed under: uncultured prokaryote
Description: partial 16S ribosomal RNA
Rfam family: Bacterial small subunit ribosomal RNA
Source: RNAcentral
UACGGAGGGUGCAAGCGUUAUCCGGAAUGAUUGGGCGUAAAGCGUCCGCAGGUGGCAUUGAAAGUCUGCUGUUAAAGAGUCUGGCUCAACCAGAUAAAGGCAGUGGAAACUACAAAGCUAGAGUGCGUUCGGGGUAGAGGGAAUUCCUGGUGUAGCGGUGAAAUGCGUAGAUAUCGGGAGGAACACCAGUGGCGAAGGCGAUCACCUGGGGAUGUUCUGACGCUGAGGAGCGAAAGCUAGGGGAGCAAACGGG